CAAGCUUCUUUACAAUUUGGCCUGGCUCCACACGCGAUGGUGGUGGCGGCGACAGGGUUGGUGUGGUGUUACUAAGCGUGUUUGCGGUGGAACGGGUGUAGUUUUCUGCCAGAAUGGCGUGAGAAAGACACAAAGCGGCCAGGAAAAAACGGAGGCCAGGCAGUGACCAAAAUCUUCCAUUCCUCCCACGAGCAGCUAGGCUAGGCCGAGGUUUCGGGAGGCUCCUAGACUGGGCAAAAGGCCCUCGGUUGCAGUGGCCAGUGGUUGGCAAGGAGGGACUCUGCUUCUUUCGCCAGCCAAUGGCCGCUGCUUGGUUCGAAGGUUUCGAGAGCUGCCUCCUUGGCUGAAGGAAGGGGACGCGUUAAUGAUUGUUGGGGAAGUACAGUCAGCGCCUUUGGCAGAAGCGGAGGAGCUGGAGCCGCGUUCAGAAAAGCGGGUUGGGACGCUCAGGGCGCGCUCUUGAGGCCCCUUGCAGGCAAUUUGGAAAUUGCUCCUUGGGCCGAAGAAAAAGAGAGACCCGGGGAGCUCAAGAAAACGCGCGGGAAGGACUGGCGGGUCUCUCGAGCUGCCUGUUGAAGGAGGGAGCUGCAGUAAAACCAGAGGGAGACCGGCUUAGGGAAAGAGAACUGUGGCGCCUUUUUCGGAGCGCCCCUCGCCCAGGCGUUCGAGUUGGCCCGGGGAAACGCUACUUCUCCCCCUUGGAAGCAAGAGUACGGAGGUUGUGGUUAGUACUCCGGGGAGGGAGGGAGGGAGGCUGAGGAGUUUCUGACCGCGGCUGCAAAAGUCAUCAGCGACCUCACCAAGCAGCCAUUUCCAGCAACUCCCUGCCGCUGCUCGCCCGGUCCCUGGUUUCUCGGUUAAAUGUUGCUAAACAGGGAUGAACGCCGCCAAGCGUUUGCCUUUCUGCGCGGAGUUAAUUAAAGAUCGUCUUUAUUUUGCCAUUCUGUUCCAUAAACCAAAAAGCGGUAGUACAAGUACACACUAUUUCUGCAUAGAUGAUGAAUUUGUGUAUGAAAACUUCUAUGCAGAUUUUGGCCCACUCAAUCUGGCAAUGAUUUACAGAUACUGUUGCAAGCUAAAUAAAAAAUUAAAGUCUUUUACCAUGUUAAGGAAGAAGAUUAUUCAUUAUUGCAGUUCGGAUCAGAAAAAGCAAGCCAAUGCAGCCUUCCUCAUAGGCUGUUACACAAUAAUAUACUUGAAACAAUCUCCAGAAAGUGUAUACAGGCAUUUACUGUUUGGGAAUGUUUCAUAUCUUCCAUUCAGGGAUGCUGCAUUUGGUACCUGCACUUUUCAUCUAACUCUGCUUGACUGUUUCCAUGCAAUAAGUAAGGCAUUGCAUUAUGGCUUCCUUGAUUUCAAUACAUUUGAUGUAAAUGAAUAUGAGCAUUAUGAAAGGGCAGAAAAUGGAGAUUUCAACUGGAUAAUACCCAAAAAAAUCAUGGCGUUCAGUGGACCUCACUCAAGAAGUAGAAUUGAAAAUGGGUAUCCACAUCAUGCACCCGAAGCCUAUUUUCCAUACUUCAGAAGGCAUAAUGUUACCACUGUAAUCCGCCUGAAUAAGAAAAUGUAUGAUUCUAGAAGAUUUAAAGACACAGGGUUUGACCAUUAUGAUCUCUUCUUUGCUGAUGGAAGUAUACCUAAUGAUGCUAUCAUCAAAGCAUUUCUGAACAUUUGUGAGAAUGCUGAAGGUGCUAUAGCAGUACAUUGCAAAGCUGGACUUGGCAGAACUGGUACACUUAUAGCGUGUUAUAUUAUGAAGCAUUACAGGAUGACUGCUGCUGAAACUAUUGCCUGGAUUAGAAUUUGUAGACCUGGUUCUGUGAUUGGAACUCAACAACAUUUCUUGUUGGACAAACAGUCAGAACUUUGGAUGGAAGGUGAUAUUUAUCGUUCAAAGCUAAAGAAGACUCAAAAGCUUGCAGUUACAAAAAUCCUUUCAGGAGUAGAUGACAUUUCAAUUAACGAUUCAAAAAAUCAGAAUGCCAGCAGAAAAGAUUCUGAACCGUACAGUGAUGAAGAAGAAACACACACAGUAACACAAGGGGACAAGCUCCGUGCCCUUAAAAGUAAAAGGCAGGCAAAAGCAUAUUCAGUUCCAUUAACAUGUCUCCUAGCUAUACUGGCCUCUGCUCUGAGUAGCAUUGUCAUCUGGUGGAUUGUGUGUGGCUCCCUCCUUCCCAACCUGCUAUUCUGUCUAGAUGGUUUAAGAACAUAGGUCCAUCAGAACCUCCCUUGGGAGAGCCACUGUUCUCAUGCCUCAGAGGGAAAGAAGGAAAGGGGAUACUUUACAACAAAAGCGCUUAUGCACAACCCUUAACCCACGAAAGAGAAGUGUGCUACGUUGAACAAUGAAAAUUCAAGAGAAUGCAGAGAGAGAAAAGAGACAUUGUUUUCAAUUAAAGCAUUGAAGAUUGAUUUUUCUUCUUUUAAAAAGUGGUCUAUUUUAACUCUUAUACAAGAGUGUUAAUUUAUUGUCACUACAACAAUGUUUUUUUACUGCUUUAAUAAUGGCCGGUAAAUUUUAGCCUUUUAUCUAAUAUCUCUUUUAUCAAGAGAAUCUUUUUUUUUUACAAUGCUUAGGGAUAAAAUGUGAUGGCAAUCAUUUAAUCUUCUGUCCAACAACUUAUUGGGGGAGUGUAUAUAUUAUUUGUUUGGUGUAUAAAUUUUCAUCCAAAAAUGGUUCUCUUUUAUGAUGGAAACGGAGAAAUUGGGAAAGUGUACUCUUCUUCCCUUCAUCCCCCCAAUAAUAUGAUUGCUUUUUGCAUACAUUAACUAUCCUAAUUGUAUUAGGAUUUUUAUCACAUAUUUCUAAAUUACUAUCCACCAAAGAGUGCUUUAUUUUCAUACAUUUAGUUCUUAGUCUUGCAAAUUAUACCACUGCCUAAAGUGUUACUUACUACUUUUAAUUAACAGAAACAGCUGGGAAGAAUUGUAACAAAUUGUGUGCUGUUGUAAUAUCACAGUCUUAAUUGUUAAGUUAUUAGUGAAUUAAAACCUGUUGUAUCUACUUCAGAUUAUAAUUGGAUAAAAUACACUAGCAAAAUGUGGGUUUCAAAUGUUCUCUAUGUACUGCUUACAAAUUGACUCUCCUUACCAUGAGAUCCUGUUCUCAGGCACCAUUCUUUCCUAACAUUAAAUAUGGCAUAGUACUGAUUCUACUAAUAGUCAGAUAUUUAUUUUAGCUCUGUCUGCAGAAAUAGGUGGUUGAAUUUUCCUCUGUAUGCAAAAUUAGUGGCAUAUCAAUGUUGUGAUUCCAAUGACAUAUCAAUAGGUUGGAUAGGAAAGGAGUUUCAUUUGCCAUUUCUUCAUGUCAUUAAAAUUCAAAGUUUAUAAUUACAGAUAGUCUCGACUUAUGACCACAAUUGAGCCCAAAAUUUCUGUUGCUAAGUGAGACUUUUGUUAAGUGAGUUUUGCCCCAUUUUACGAUCUUUCUUGCCACGGUUGUUAAGUGAAUCUGGCUUCCCCAUUGACUUUGCUUGUCAGAAAGUCGCAAAAGGUAAUCAUAGAACUUGGGACACAGCAACCAUCAUAAACAAGAGCCAGUUGCCAACUGGCCAAAUUUUAAUCAGGUGACCAUGGGGACACUGCAACCAUCAUAAGUCACUUUUUACAAACUGCCAUUGUAAGUUUGAAUAGUCAUUAAACAAAUGGUUGUAAAUUGAAGACUACCUGUAUUCACCUUUCAGUGCAGGAGAGGCAACAGAUCUCUACCGAAAUCUAAAGAUAGACAGUGGACUAUAAUUAUUAACAUAGUUAGUCUUCAAAAGCUAAACAGGAACUGUUAUAAUUAUUCUCGUGUCCCAUUUGGACUUCAAAAUCCUUGCAAGGAAACUUUAGUUAUGGAUAAUGCAGGUCAUCCUGAUGUUGGGUUGUGACUCCUGUUAGCCCUAGCCAACAUGACUGAAGGUAAGAUUUGCUGUCCAAUAUCUGUAAGGAUAAGGGUUGCCCAUCCCUGGUACAGAGGCUUUGCUGUAGCAUACUCUAUAUUUCUGUAGUAAACAAUAUGUAAAAAAAAAUAAAAAAAAUAGAAAAUUCUUGCUGGACCUGAAGCCCAAAAUAUCUGUAGCUAAUCAUACCAGUAAGAAUGUUGGGAUUCUGUCUUGAUUCUGCCUUGUAGGAGUAUUGUUAAAUUUUAGGAAUGUGGCUUUGCUUAAAAAAGUCACAUAGCAGUAGUAUGAAGAGACCUGGGCCAUGUUUUAGGGUUGAUUAGUCAUUUUGAUAUUCACAGCUACUAUAAUAGAUUUAUAAUAUUAAGCCUCUUAUUGAAUUCAAGCAGCUACAGAAGACCCUCUUCUUGAUGAUUUGUUUCCAGUCUGGCUCUUUAGAAAUUUUAUUGAUGCAUUCAUUUCCAUUGUAGAAGAUUCUUAGUCUAUUAUGCUGGUGAUUGUCCUUUUCUAUUUCUGCAGUGUUAUAAACGUCCAAAUGUGUCCAAAAUAUGAUGAUUUGAGUAUAGUCACUUCUGCUUCAAUUGAAAUUUCUGGAUUUAUUUUCUCUGUGAUCCAUUUAUUUGUUUUCUUGGCUACUUAUGAUAUUCUCAAGGAAUCUUCCAGCACCAAAAUUCCCAAGUAUCAGUACCCUUUUUGUCCUGUUUCUUCAAAGUCCAAUGUCUGCUUCCAUAGAGUGUCACAGCCUACAUGAUCCGAUCUUUGUUAGUGUAGACACAUAUUGGCAUCUGUUUUUCAUAAGGACCUCAUUGCUACUCUACCAAGUACUGAUCUGUGGUGUAUUUCUAGACCAGGGGUUCUCAACCUUGGCAACUUUUAAGACUUGUGGACUUCAACUCCCAGAAUUCUGGGAGUUGAAGUCCACAAAUCUUAAAGUUGCCAAGGUUGGGAACCCCUGUUCUAGACAGUUUGUUCCCUUAUUAUUGUCUAUCCUAAAAAGCAAAAGCUAUUCACCAUUUCAUUGCCUAUAUUCAUUGUCAAUUUUAAGGCUGUUUAUUCCAUCUGUUGUCAUUAGUUUAGUCUUCUUUAGUCUUAGUCCCAUUUUUUUCACUGUGUUCAUUAAGUUUCAUUACUAGACUUCUCAAAUCAUUUGCAUUUUCAGCAGAGGGCAAGUUGAUGUUUCUUUUUCCAGUUUUAAAAUCAUGCUCAUCUUUUUUCAGUUCAAUCUCCUUUAUUCAACUUAUAGGUUGAAUAAAUGAGAAAACAGCAUACAGUUUUGUUUGACUUUGAUACCAACCUGGAUCCAGUUUCAUCAUGUUUGCUUCCUAUCCCAUGUAUAGUCUUCACACAAGAACACUGAGGCAUUCUGGAUUCCCUAUUUUCUAAGGCCAUUCUAUAUCUGAUAAUGUUUGAUACAAUUGAAGAACUUUUUUAUAAUCAAUGAAAUGUAUAUUAAUAUUUUUAUAUUCUUUGAUUUUCUGAAUUACCUUGAAGAUACCAACAAUAUCCUUUGGUCUUUAGAUUUUUGCUAAAAAUCUACUUGAACAUCUGUUGUUUCUCUUUCCACAUAGGGCUGUGUUUUGUGCUGGAAGAGCAUAGCAAUACUGUAUGAAAGGUUUGUAUACUCGGUUAAGUCUCCUUUAGUGUUAGUAUCUGCUCCCCAAUAUGUCAUUCUCCAAAUCUGCUGGCAUAAUUUGGAUAGAAUCUUGAUUUAUUCUUCUAUUGCUUACCUUCUAUAAAUAUUCCAUCAGUUCUGGUAGCCUUCCAACUUAAUAAUGACUGGAGUGCUGAUCUAAUUUCAUCUGAUUUUUGUAAAUAAGGAAUGUGUCUAAAGUAUCAUGGAUAUUAACAUCUUUAUUGUACAGAAUUUCAGUAUACUUCUUCCAGCUUUCUUUGAUCCUUUUUGUAUCAGUUACUAUCCAUUGGCAUCAUUUAUGUCCAUUGGCAUCUUUUAGCAUACCAGUUUGGGGUUAGAUUUUUCUUUUGAGUUAAGAGAUCUUUUGGAAGACUUUUCCUUGCUUUUUCUUGUCUCUGUCCAUUUCUGUUACAUAUAUUGUUAUACUAUUGCUUGUCUUUUCUAACAUCUGUCCAAAAUGUGUUAAGUUCUUCCUGAGAUCUUUAUCUUUGGCUUUUUCUCUUGGCAGUUUCUGCUAUUUGUUCUGACAUUCACUAUAGUUUCUUCUAUUUCAUGAUUUUUGACAGUCUCUUUUCGCAUUCAUCCUUAACAACAACAACCUCAUCCUCUGGUCACUAUCAAUGAGGUUCAGAACUUCAAAACAAUUCUGAUGUUCUUGAAAAUGGUGAGUAUAUGCUCAAAAUUGUAUUAUGGAAAUUAGUCAGGUUUUUUCCACUUUAGGUUGACUUGAAACUUGCUUAUGAGCUGCUUGUUCCAUAGUCAUCCUGACCAUUAUUUUGCUAUUAUCAUUCAUCUUUUCUAUCAUUUUAUAUCAGUAACUUAGUCAAAUUGAUUUCUAGGUACUUCAUAUAUUCAUGUAUACAGGCAUUGUUCUGAUUGUUGGAAAAAUGUGUUAGCGUGAAGAUGUUAAUUAGAGAGGCACAAAUAAUAUAUUUUCCUGAUUAAUUUCAGUGUUCUGAACUAUACAGUCCUACUGUAUUUCCUCAAUUUCCUGUGGGGAAACUAAUUGGCUUUGUUGUUACCUAACUCUCGAGUUUCCAGUUUGGCAUUCAGGCAAACUUUAAACCUCAUUAUGAACUCUUCAUCAUAAUUUUUAAUGGGGUGUAAUUUUUUAUUUGCCUUCAUUGCUGAUUUUUUAAAAAGAAUCCAACACAAAUCAAUAUUGGUCAUAACACUUUUUAAUAAGCAGAGAUAAUUCUGUGCAUUCUUGUAUGAAAUUAUUUCAAUAUUUUGUGUUUAUUUUUAAAGAUUUAGGUUGCUUACACCUCGGCUUCUUCACCAUUCAGUUGAAUAGUUCACCAUUUACUUAACAGCAGUUGCAUUAUAGACAAGAGUUCAUUUAUAUUUAUUGGAAUAUGAGUUUUAGAUUGAUUUAAUCUUCUGUUCUACUUUAUCCACCAUGAAAUUGAAUGCCACAUUGUUACAGGUAGUCUUCGACUUAAAACUGUUCCGUUCAGUGACUGUUUAAAAUUAUGAUGGCGUUAAAUGGACUACCUUCCGCCUGAAGUUACCCCAUUGCAGCAUUCCUGCCAUCACGUAAUUGUGACCUGGGCUUUUGCCAAAGUCUCUGCGAUCAUGUGAUUGCCAUUUGCAAUCUUUCGUCCCAGCAUCCUCAGAAAAUCAACAAGGAAGCUGGCAGGGAAGGUUUCAGGUUGCUGCCACGGGACUCACUCUGGUUCCUGAGGGCUGGCUGAAAAAGGUUCAUCAGCACCCAUUUUGGGGCAGCCCAUUUCCACUCUCCAAUGGAAAUGGAGAGUGGAAGAGCUGUCUGCCAGAUUGAUUUCGCUCCCAGCGGGAUGAAGUCCCUUGGCAAAGCAGUCCUUCUGCUCCCAGAGGCUGGCUGGAAAGGUCCAUGCCAAAAACCAAGAAGGAUUUAGUCCGGGUUACUUGCAGCAUGGAGCUCUUAGAGCCAGGCUGGCUCCCAACACUUCAUGCUUCAACAUCUUCCUGUGAAAAUCCCACUUUACCUAAUGCGGGGCAGAAUCCCUUUGUGAAACCAUUGCUCCCAAAGAUGCUGGUUAGAAGAAGUCCUUUCAGAAAGGUAAUAUUUGCUGGCUUUCUAGCCAGAAGGCCAGCAAAUUCAAUGUUUCUAAAGGCUGGCUGGAAGAGCCAGCAUAGCAGUUGUUGAGCAAGGCAGUCGCAUGGGUGCCUUACUCAACAACUGACACGACUUGCGACUGUAAUUGGCUGUCUCCAUUACAGUUGCACAUCAAGGACUAUAUACUGAAAGACUUGCUCACAUACUCUCAGUAAUUGAUUUUGGUCAGCUUUAUAAAUUGCAAUCUACAUUUAACAAAGAAUGUUCUAGGAUCAAAUCUGAUACUAGUUUUGUUCGGUCAGAUGUAUUUCUGUAUUGUUCAUGCUAUUUUAACUAAUAAUAUAGAUACUGGCUUUAUUCUCAGUAGUAUAUCCUAUCUUAAAAUGUUUCCUGUAUUUGUAGAAUUUUCAAGGUAGAGUGAUUUCAAAUCAGCUAAAUUAUUUAAUAAAAACCAUGUAGAUUUUUAAUCACACAUUACUAAAAAUAGCUCCCAUCUAUGUACUAUUAUUUUAAAUAUCGAAUUAGCCUCAUUGUUCAAUAUUUGAAAUCCCAUUUUAUUUACCCUGCAUCCUAACAUUCAAGCAUCAACAAUCAGAGCACUACAUAUUUUGUGUGCCUGAUAAAGUUUAAAUAGACAUUUGGUACAUUAACUAAGGUGGCUGUCGCUUUCAUUAGUACUGAUAAACUAAUUCUACCACUCAUUUCUGUAUCAUGACAGACAAAAGGAUCGCUUACUUAUAUCUCAUUCACUAAGUCUUCCCCUUAAUAGUCAAUUACUGCUUCUGUUUAUGCAACACCCAUUCCUAAUUUUGUAACCUGAUUGUUUCUAGCCAUUUGUAGCCAGUAUACAAAAUAUUAUUUCCGUUGCCAGAGAUUUGUGAUUAACUGCUAAGUGCCAUUUAUCAACUUAUUCCUGAUAGGAUUAUGCUUGAACCUUAGAUUAAGAUUAAAAGGUCCUUGAUAGAAUAUAGUUAUUACUUGGGAGUAUAUGUAUAUGUUUCUACCUCCCUCGAUUUUGGUUACAUAAGCGUCAAGCGACUCAGAAUGCCCUAAUUAGCAUGGAGGAAAUCUGCUAUUUACGUAGAUAUUUUGGCUCAGAAGCUUUACUAAUUAACAUCAACAGAAGGUACUUGUUACAUGUGCACAAAAGUGCAACAUCUGCUAUUUUAGACAUGAGAAAUAAGAUUCCUUGACUGUGGAACCACUGUGUUAUUAAUGCUAUGUACACAAAUCAACCAUGCAAAGCCACUUUUAAACAGUCACAAUCAUGUUGAGCCCGUCUCCCACAGUGUCAUUUUUGGUCGAAAGGCAUUGUAUAAGUUAAAUACAUUAAACCACUUCUUAGAUUUAGUACUAGGUACUAGAAAUGGUACUAGAAGCAGUACUAGUAUCAGGCCAGAAAAAAUACUCAAUAUUUAGGUGUCUUAGUAGUCAAACGAUACAUUUAAUUUUUUUAAGCUUGAAAACCAAAGAAGGUUCCCAGUGCUUAAACUAUCCUUUGUAAUGAAUAAGCAAAAUAGUCUGAAAGAUUAAUUUAAAUUCUCAUGUGGAACUAUUAUGAUUCCAUAUUGGUUAGCACAAUUUAUUUUCUAACACUUUAAAGUUACAUCCAAAUAUUCAUUGUUGUAUUGACAGCUAUGCUGUGUAAAAGCUUAAAACUUUCAGAGUUGCUACUUGUAGGUCCCAAUUACAAGUUUUAGGGGACUUUUUAUGUAUUGUCUUUAAAACUUGUACAAUUUGUUCAAACUGUGGUAUAACCAAUACUGCUCAGAUCAAAUUAUUUUGUUAAUGUAUUUCAGGGUUAACUUGACACUGUGUUUAAAUUUUAAUUUGAUAGUAUGUAUUUUUUCAUCAGUGUAAUUGAAUUAUAUAAAUCUGGAGUAACUUGUAAGAGAAAUGUGUACAAAUAAAAUCUAUUGCUUAUGUGAGAUUA
This is an RNA transcript of Crotalus tigris (Tiger rattlesnake), 9491 nucleotides long. It is a transcript of the gene named cell division cycle 14B, with no coding region annotated. The record is from RefSeq and is a predicted model, not a curated record. NCBI's taxonomy places the organism in Eukaryota, Metazoa, Chordata, Lepidosauria, Squamata, Viperidae. The transcript has 15 exons.